GACGAACGCUGGCGGCGUGCUUAACACAUGCAAGUCGAACGGAAAGGCCCUGCUUUUGUGGGGUGCUCGAGUGGCGAACGGGUGAGUAACACGUGAGUAACCUGCCCUUGACUUUGGGAUAACUUCAGGAGACUGGGGCUAAUGCCGGAUAGGAGCUCCUGCUGCAUGGUGGGGGUUGGAAAGUUUCGGAGGUUGGGGAUGGACUCGCGGCUUAUCAGCUUGUUGGUGGGGUAGUGGCUUACCAAGGCUUUGACGGGUAGCCGGCCUGGGAGGGUGACCGGCCACAUUGGGACUGAGAUACGGCCCAGACUGCUACGGGAGGCAGCAGUGGGGAAUAUUGCACAAUGGGCGGAAGCCUGAUGCAGCAACGCCGCGUGCGGGAUGACGGCCUUCGGGUUGUAAACCGCUUUCGCCUGUGACGAAGCGUGAGUGACGGUAAUGGGUAAAGAAGCACCGGCUAACUACGUG
RNAcentral lists this ribosomal RNA (468 nucleotides) under uncultured bacterium. RNAcentral describes it as "partial 16S ribosomal RNA". It matches the Rfam family "Bacterial small subunit ribosomal RNA", at positions 28 to 507 of the family's 1533-position model. The record is from RNAcentral.